AAAAAAGAAAGAGAAUUUGUUUUUUCCAAAUCUCCCUCUCAAAUCUCUAAAAAACCCUACUCCGCAACCUCCCUCUCUUAGAACAAUUAAGUUCAUUUUCCCCCUCCCCAGUUUCUCUAUCUCGUCCGAAUCCUUACACCCCAACCAUGAAUAUCAAAAUCCUUCAGGAAUAGCAGUUUGAAAUGUAUUCUCUUCUUGGUUAAUUCCCUAUUUCCUUCUCUUUGUCUAUUGCGCAUUGGAAUAACUCUAGGUUGACUACCUCAGCAACCUUGUUGUCUCAAUUCAAUAGAGUGUCAAAUGGGUGGAAGCGCAAGGAAAUUGGAGUUGAAGGGAUGUAGCAGAAAAAGUGGAAGAAAGAGUUGAGGAAGUGAAAAAAUCUGUUGCAGAAUUUGCUACAAUUUGCUUGUAUCGAGCCUAAUAGUUUCUUUCUACCAUUGUUUAAUUGUAAGGAUGUGCUGCUAUUCACAAAUACAUUGAUGUAAUUAGUUACAGAGAUUUUUUGUUUACUUAUUUUAUUACAGUUCAAAUUAUAUAUAUUUAUUGACAUUUAUAGGUAUUUAUUUUAGAAAUUUGAUAUUUA
Nicotiana tabacum (common tobacco) is the source of this 580-nucleotide long non-coding RNA. RefSeq lists it as uncharacterized. NCBI's taxonomy places the organism in Eukaryota, Viridiplantae, Streptophyta, Magnoliopsida, Solanales, Solanaceae. The record is from RefSeq and is a predicted model, not a curated record.